CGUAGGUGGCAAGCGUUGUCCGGAUUUAUUGGGUUUAAAGGGUGCGUAGGCGGCCCCGUAAGUCAGUGGUGAAAUAUCUCAGCUUAACUGAGAGGGUGCCAUUGAUACUGCGGGGCUUGAGUACAGAUGAGGUAGGCGGAAUUGACGGUGUAGCGGUGAAAUGCAUAGAUAUCGUCAAGAACUCCGAUAGCGAAGGCAGCUUACUAAGCUGUAACUGACGCUGAGGCACGAAAGUGUGGGGAUCAAACAGGAUUAGAUACCCUGGUAGUCCACACUGUAAACGUCGAUGACUCGAUGCUGGCGAUACACAGCCAGCGUCCAAGAGCAAUCGUUAAGUCAUCCACCUGGGGAGUACGCCGGCAACGGUG
This 368-nucleotide ribosomal RNA is filed under the name uncultured organism. RNAcentral's name for it is "bacterial SSU rRNA". It matches the Rfam family "Bacterial small subunit ribosomal RNA", at positions 526 to 896 of the family's 1533-position model. The record is from RNAcentral.